RNAcentral lists this transfer RNA (69 nucleotides) under Ictidomys tridecemlineatus (thirteen-lined ground squirrel). RNAcentral describes it as "Spermophilus tridecemlineatus (thirteen-lined ground squirrel) tRNA". It matches the Rfam family "tRNA". From Rfam's summary of the family: Transfer RNA (tRNA) molecules are approximately 80 nucleotides in length. Their secondary structure includes four short double-helical elements and three loops (D, anti-codon, and T loops). The record is from Rfam by way of RNAcentral. Lineage: Eukaryota; Metazoa; Chordata; Mammalia; Rodentia; Sciuridae. RNAcentral also lists the same sequence under 1 other name.
GGGACUGUAGCUCAGUGGUAGAGCGCUUGCCCCGCAGGCAUGAGGCCCUGAGUUCGAUCCUCAGCACCA